RNAcentral lists this ribosomal RNA (448 nucleotides) under uncultured bacterium. RNAcentral describes it as "bacterial SSU rRNA". It matches the Rfam family "Bacterial small subunit ribosomal RNA", at positions 329 to 793 of the family's 1533-position model. The record is from RNAcentral.
UGCCAGACUCCUACGGGAGGCAGCAGUGGGGAAUAUUGCACAAUGGGGGAAACCCUGAUGCAGCAACGCCGCGUGAGUGAGGAAGUAUUUCGGUAUGUAAAGCUCUAUCAGCAGGGAAGAAAAUGACGGUACCUGAGUAAGAAGCCCCGGCUAACUACGUGCCAGCAGCCGCGGUAAUACGUAGGGGGCAAGCGUUAUUCGGAUUUACUGGGUGUAAAGGGAGCGUAGACGGCAGUGCAAGUCUGGAGUGAAAGGCGGGGGCUCAACCCCCGGACUGCUCUGGAAACUGUACGGCUGGAGUGCAGGAGAGGUAAGUGGAAUUCCUAGUGUAGCGGUGAGAUGCGUAGAUAUUAGGAGGAACACCAGUGGCGAAGGCGGCUUACUGGACUGUAACUGACGUUGAGGCACGAAAGUGUGGGGAGCAAACAGGAUUAGAUACCCGUGUAAG